CGCUUCUCCAGACGGGAGCGCGGUUGGGCCUCCAUACAAAGGCUGCGCUUCUGCCAUGGCGGGCGGGGGAGGUGGAGGCGGUCUGGCCCAUGGCAGCCAGGGCAUGUGGCUGCGCGCUGCGGUCCACUCACACACAGUGCGGGACACAGAGGCCCCUGGAAAGAGCACACUGAGUGGGAGAGCAAAUUCUGGAACUGUCGCAGGCGGAAACCACACAAGGGGGAAACAGACAAAACAGCAAACCCGGAAGAACCAUUCCCGCUUCCGAAGCUCCAUGAUCACGGCAGACGCUUCUUAAAACCUCCCGUUUAAUAUCAGAUGCCACACAUACGAGAUCGAUGUGCACGUCGGGAGAAACCACAGCACAGCCAGGAGUACUGGCGCACAGUGAAUACGCUUCCGUCCUUUCAAAAGCCUUUCCCGAACGGUAUCUUGUAAAAAAUGCCAAAAAUAAAAUGAAAAAAACUGCCAGGAAAAGAGAACUGGCUUUCAGUGUUAACGAAAUGGAUUCUCCAGAAGCAUGGAAAUCAGGACUGCCA
RNAcentral lists this long non-coding RNA (539 nucleotides) under Homo sapiens (human). Its description in RNAcentral is "HSALNT0254218". The record is from RNAcentral. Lineage: Eukaryota; Metazoa; Chordata; Mammalia; Primates; Hominidae.